GCUGGGUGUGGUGGUGUAUGCCUGUCAUCCCAGUAACUGCGGAGGUUGAGGCAGGAUGAUUGAUUGCAAGUUUGAGGCCAGCCUCAGCAAAGUAUUGAGGCCCUAAGAAACUCAGUGAGACCCUGUCUUAA
This 131-nucleotide small RNA is filed under the name Marmota monax (woodchuck). Lineage: Eukaryota; Metazoa; Chordata; Mammalia; Rodentia; Sciuridae. The record is from RNAcentral.